UAGUCAUAUGCUUGUCUCAAAGAUUAAGCCAUGCAUGUCUAAGUAUAAGCAAUUUAUACAGUGAAACUGCGAAUGGCUCAUUAAAUCAGUUAUCGUUUAUUUGAUAGUACCUUUACUACUUGGUAUAACCGUGGUAAUUCUAGAGCUAAUACAUGCUAAAAACCCCGACUGUUUGGAAGGGGUGUAUUUAUUAGAUAAAAAAUCAAUGCUCUUCUGAGCUCUUUGAUGAUUCAUAAUAACUUUUCGAAUCGCAUGACUUCGUGUCGGCGAUGGUUCAU
This 278-nucleotide ribosomal RNA is filed under the name uncultured eukaryote. RNAcentral describes it as "partial 18S ribosomal RNA". It matches the Rfam family "Eukaryotic small subunit ribosomal RNA", at positions 21 to 298 of the family's 1831-position model. The record is from RNAcentral.